RNAcentral lists this ribosomal RNA (227 nucleotides) under Pomacanthus annularis (bluering angelfish). Its description in RNAcentral is "partial 16S ribosomal RNA". Lineage: Eukaryota; Metazoa; Chordata; Actinopteri; Pomacanthidae. The record is from RNAcentral.
GCUAAAAAGCUAGCCUCCUCCCAAAAAACAACCAAUCAAUAUUUAUAACCCCGAAUAAAUUAAUUAUCUCAAAUUAAUAAACCAUUUUUCCUCUUUAGUAUAGGUGAUAGAAAAGGAACCACAGAGCAAUAGAGAAAGUACCGCAAGGGAACGCUGAAAGAGAAAUGAAACAACCCAGUUUAAGCCUAAAAAAGCAGAGAUUUUACCUCGUACCUUUUGCAUCAUGA